GAUGAACGCUGGCGGCGUGCCUAAUACAUGCAAGUCGAGCGAACGGACGAGAAGCUUGCUUCUCUGAUGUUAGCGGCGGACGGGUGAGUAACACGUGGAUAACCUACCUAUAAGACUGGGAUAACUUCGGGAAACCGGAGCUAAUACCGGAUAAUAUUUUGAACCGCAUGGUUCAAAAGUGAAAGACGGUCUUGCUGUCACUUAUAGAUGGAUCCGCGCUGCAUUAGCUAGUUGGUAAGGUAACGGCUUACCAAGGCAACGAUGCAUAGCCGACCUGAGAGGGUGAUCGGCCACACUGGAACUGAGACACGGUCCAGACUCCUACGGGAGGCAGCAGUAGGGAAUCUUCCGCAAUGGGCGAAAGCCUGACGGAGCAACGCCGCGUGAGUGAUGAAGGUCUUCGGAUCGUAAAACUCUGUUAUUAGGGAAGAACAUAUGUGUAAGUAACUGUGCACAUCUUGACGGUACCUAAUCAGAAAGCCACGGCUAACUACGUGCCAGCAGCCGCGGUAAUACGUAGGUGGCAAGCGUUAUCCGGAAUUAUUGGGCGUUAAGCGCGCGUAGGCGGUUUUUUAGUCUGAUGUGAAAGCCCACGGCUCAACCGUGGAGGGUCAUUGGAAACUGGAAAACUUGAGUGCAGAAGAGGAAAGUGGAAUUCCAUGUGUAGCGGUGAAAUGCGCAGAGAUAUGGAGGAACACCAGUGGCGAAGGCGACUUUCUGGUCUGUAACUGACGCUGAUGUGCGAAAGCGUGGGGAUCAAACAGGAUUAGAUACCCUGGUAGUCCACGCCGUAAACGAUGAGUGCUAAGUGUUAGGGGGUUUCCGCCCCUUAGUGCUGCAGCUAACGCAUUAAGCACUCCGCCUGGGGAGUACGACCGCAAGGUUGAAACUCAAAGGAAUUGACGGGGACCCGCACAAGCGGUGGAGCAUGUGGUUUAAUUCGAAGCAACGCGAAGAACCUUACCAAAUCUUGACAUCCUUUGACAACUCUAGAGAUAGAGCCUUCCCCUUCGGGGGACAAAGUGACAGGUGGUGCAUGGUUGUCGUCAGCUCGUGUCGUGAGAUGUUGGGUUAAGUCCCGCAACGAGCGCAACCCUUAAGCUUAGUUGCCAUCAUUAAGUUGGGCACUCUAAGUUGACUGCCGGUGACAAACCGGAGGAAGGUGGGGAUGACGUCAAAUCAUCAUGCCCCUUAUGAUUUGGGCUACACACGUGCUACAAUGGACAAUACAAAGGGUAGCGAAACCGCGAGGUCAAGCAAAUCCCAUAAAGUUGUUCUCAGUUCGGAUUGUAGUCUGCAACUCGACUAUAUGAAGCUGGAAUCGCUAGUAAUCGUAGAUCAGCAUGCUACGGUGAAUACGUUCCCGGGUCU
This 1371-nucleotide ribosomal RNA is filed under the name uncultured bacterium. RNAcentral's name for it is "bacterial SSU rRNA". It matches the Rfam family "Bacterial small subunit ribosomal RNA", at positions 28 to 1381 of the family's 1533-position model. The record is from RNAcentral.